This 821-nucleotide ribosomal RNA is filed under the name uncultured bacterium. RNAcentral's name for it is "bacterial SSU rRNA". It matches the Rfam family "Bacterial small subunit ribosomal RNA", at positions 53 to 869 of the family's 1533-position model. The record is from RNAcentral.
ACAUGCAGUCGAGGGGUAUAAGAGAGCUUGCUUUCUUAGAGACCGGCGCACGGGUGCGUCACUCGUAUGCAAUCUACCUUACUCAGGGGGAUAGCCCGAAGAACUUCGGAUUAACACCGCAUAACAUAUAGUUCCGGCAUCGGAGUUAUAUCAAAUAUUCAUAGGAGUAAGAUGAGCAUGCGUGACAUUAGCUAGUUGGUAAGGUAACGGCUUACCAAGGCGACGAUGUCUAGGGGAUCUGAGAGGAUGACCCCCCACACUGGUACUGAGACACGGACCAGACUCCUACGGGAGGCAGCAGUAAGAAAUAUUGGUCAAUGGGCGCAAGCCUGAACCAGCCAUGCCGCGUGCAGGAAGACGGCCCUACGGGUUGUAAACUGCUUUUGUACCGGAAUAAACCUGAUUAUGUAUAGUCAGCUGAAUGUACGGUAAGAAUAAGGAUCGGCUAACUCCGUGCCAGCAGCCGCGGUAAUACGGAGGAUCCAAGCGUUAUCCGGAUUUAUUGGGUUUAAAGGGUGCGUAGGCGGCUUUUUAAGUCAGGGGUGAAAGACGGUAGCUUAACUAUCGCAGUGCCUUUGAUACUGAAGAGCUAGAAUUAAGUUGAGGUAGGCCGAAUGUGACAAGUAGCGGUGAAAUGCAUAGAUAUGUCACCGAACACCGAUUGCGAAAGGCGCUUAAUAAACUUAGAUUGACGCUGAUGCACGAAAGCGUGGGGAUCAAACAGGGAUAGAUACCCCUGGAAGUCCCCGCCCCCAAACGAAGAACCCUCCGAUGUUGGGGAUAAACAAGCCGCGUCCCAACCGAAAGCGAAAAAGUGGUUC